This 402-nucleotide ribosomal RNA is filed under the name Bacteroidota bacterium. RNAcentral's name for it is "Bacteroidetes bacterium partial 16S ribosomal RNA". It matches the Rfam family "Bacterial small subunit ribosomal RNA", at positions 355 to 776 of the family's 1533-position model. The record is from RNAcentral. Lineage: Bacteria; Pseudomonadati; Bacteroidota.
UGGGGAAUUUUGCACAAUGGGGGAAACCCUGAUGCAGCGACGCCGCGUGAUUUAGAAGGCCUUCGGGUUGUAAAAAUCUUUUCUAUGGGAAGAAAAUGACAGUACCAUAGGAAUAAGGACCGGCCAAUUACGUGCCAGCAGCCGCGGUAAUACGUAAGGCCCGAGCGUUGUCCGGAAUCAUUGGUCGUAAAGGGUACGUAGGCGGGUAAGCAAGUUAGAAGUGAAAUCCUGUAGCUCAACUACAGUAAGCUUUUAAAACUGCUCAUCUUGAGAUAUGGAAGGGAAAGUGGAAUUCCUAGUGUGGCGGUGAAAUGCGCAGAUAUUAGGAGGAAUACCGGUGGCGAAAGCGACUUUCUGGCCAUAAUCUGACGCUGAGGUACGAAAGCGUGGGUAGCAAACAGG